GUAGUCUCGCACAGAUGCAUAUCAAUAAGCGGAGGAAAAGAAACUAACAAGGAUUCCCCUAGUAACGGCGAGUGAAGCGGGAAGAGCUCAAAUUUGAAAUCUUAAAGGGUUUCCCUUUACGAAUUGUAGUUUAAAGAAGUGUUUUCUGUUGAGGUUUUGGUAAAAGUUCUUUGGAAUAGGACAUCAUAGAGGGUGAGAAUCCCGUAUUUGACCUUUACUUUCAACUUUGUGAUACACUUUCAAAGAGUCGGAUUGUUUGGGAAUGCAGUCCAAAAUGGGUGGUAAAUUUCAUCUAAAGCUAAAUAUUGGCGAGAGACCGAUAGCGAACAAGUACCGUGAGGGAAAGAUGAAAAGAACUUUGAAAAGAGAGUUAAACAGUACGUGAAAUUGUCAAAAGGGAAGCGUUUGACACCAGUGUUGUUUUUCUGAAAAUCAAUUAAAGAACUGUUUAUGCUAAGCUUGUUUAGACUUUAUCAGGCUAACUGUUUAGUUUUGAGCUUUUCUUUAAUGCACUUUUCAGUUAACAAGUCAACAUCAAUUUCUUUUGCUGUAAAAAAGCUUGAGGAAGGUGGCUUGAGAUUCGUCUUAAGUGUUUAUAGCCUCUUGCCUAUGCAGUCGGAGAGAUUGAGGUCUGCAGCGUAGAUCCUUCGGGGCUAAAUGCAUUUGUGCUAAGUUAUAGCAUUUUAUAGACAACUUGUUGACUAUGAUUUGUCUUGUAGCUUACUCGCUUAUGUUAUUUUACCUACGCUUAGGAUGUUGAAGACUCUACAGAGAU
Molecule: ribosomal RNA, 775 nt
Filed under: uncultured Neocallimastigales
Lineage: Eukaryota; Fungi; Neocallimastigomycota; Neocallimastigomycetes; Neocallimastigales
Description: partial large subunit ribosomal RNA
Rfam family: Eukaryotic large subunit ribosomal RNA
Source: RNAcentral